CACUCAAAUGCUUUUAUUUUUCCCCUUCUCCUCGGAGGAGAAGAGAAGAGAGAAAAGAAUCACAUUAUCUCUCCUCUACCCACAUUACCCAAAACAAACUCAAAGCUAAAUCCACGUCAUCAUCUUCUUCUCCUCAACCCUCUCUCCCCCACCAUUGCCGAAACCUCCUCUGCAUUUUCUCUUCACGCAUUCUCUCUUCACGCAUUCUCUCCGAUCACCUCCGUUCCCAAUUCAAUCCAAUUCCACGAUUCCACUUUCUUCUAGGGUUUUCCCCGCUUUCUCCCUGAGGUUUACCGUGUUUUUCACUCUCAAUGACACGCUCUACUGGAAGCGGUAGAAUGGAUGCUAUGCCGAGGCCUAUGGUCGCUGGAUGUUUCUCUCAAACUGUAGCAGAAGAUGACAAUGCUCGGCAGAAAUCAGCUGCUGCGUAUAUCUAUAGACAACUGCGUGAUGCAGAUGAAGCAAAUUUGCUUAGCGAAGAAGAUAUGCAUGUUUAUGGUGAGAGACCCAUGACUGAUCCCUUGAAGCUGGUGCGAUGCAACACUUGCAAGAAACCAGUCAAGGACAGCCAAUUUGCCGCUCAUGCAGAACUUUGUAGAUCAUUAAAGCUCACAGAACAAACUGGGUUGGAGCUUAAUGGCAACACAAGGAAUCGAAAACCUCCAAGGAAUGAUAAGAAAAGGUUAUCAGCUUCUUCUGCAGUUGGGAAGCGGAGAAAGUCUGAGGCGUUGGAUAACACUGACACUGUUGUGUCACAAUCCCACUUGAACAGUCAAAUUAGAGGGACUUCCUUUUCAAAUGAUGUUAAAGUUGGGAAGCGGAGAAAGUCUGAGGCGUUGGAUAACACUGACACUGUUGUGUCACAAUCCCACUUGAACAGUCAAAUUAGAGGGACUUCCUUUUCAAAUGAUGUUAAAGAUGUGGCGCCAACAUCUUUGUUGGAUGAUACUGGAGUUAGUCAUGGAAAUAGAGUUCUCCAAGCUUCAGUAAUGUAUCCUCCCGCAAAACAUCAUAAGUUGACGACAGGCACACGUACAGCUGUAAUAGAUGAGCAUGGAACAGAGUCUGGAGUGUCAAAAGCUGCAAAUUUAACAAAUGGAACGACUAAUGCGGCGCCGGCAUCUAUGUUGGAUGAUACUGGAGUUAAUAGUGGGAAUAGAGUUCUCCAAGCUUCAGUAAUAUAUCCUCCAACAAAACGUCAUAAAUUGAUGCCAAGCACACAUAUAGCUGUAAUAGAAGAGCAUGGAACAGAGUCUGGAGUGUCAAAAGCUGUGAGUUUAGUAAAUGGAACCACUCGGAAAGAUACGACUGAAGAGAUUGUAUCAGAACAUGGAGAUCCUUUCCAUAAAAAUGUUCAGCAGGUCCAUAUGCAACACCAACACAUGAUGAAUAAUGAUUUUCCCGCACCCCUUGCCACGAAGAUAUAUUAUUCUCAAAGGACCAAUCGACUGCGUGCCGCUAUUCGUCAUAUGUACUUCGAGAAUUUGAGCGAGGAAGUAUGUGCUGAUGUUGAGUGUCCAAAGACAUCACAUGGAGAGAUGGUUGCACUGCAAGGUUCGUCUCAGGUGGACCCUUCAUUUGAGCAAAUUGACAAUAUGGUCAACAACGAGAGCCACUCGGGAAUGAUGCACACCAAAAGUUCUGAUGAUAUUCUGGCAAAAAGCUCAGAAGUUUGCUUGCUUAAAGCAGGAGGCGUGCCUAGUGAUGGCUUGCCAAAUCAGUUUUUUCUUGACAACGUUUCAAGGUCUGCAGCUACUCAUGUUGGUUUAACUAGAGGCAGUUUUCUUCCAAAGAAUUAUUCUUUUCCAAGCAACACAGGUAAAUGAUAUGGAUGCAUUUGUGGGAAAACAGUAUCAGUGAAGGAAGAUCUCUAAUUCUUCUGAUUAGAAUUAGUUAUGCAGAUUAGGACUUAUUAUUUUAUUUAUAUUUAUUUUUUAAUAAGUUAGCAUAACCCAAUUUUUAGAUUUGAAUUGCAGUAUUUUUAGGAUAAGAUUUAAGAUUAUAACAGAUUUUUUCUAUUAAAUAGGGUAUUAAUAUCAUUUAAAUUUAAAUGAUAGUAAUUUUAUGGAAAAGUUAGUUAUUAACUUAAUAAUAAGAACUCAUUUUCUACCGCAAGCCUAUUAAAAGGCAUUCAGAAAAGGAAUAUCUCUAGUUAGCUGAUUAGGAUUAGUUAUGCCGAUUAGAAUUUAUUAUUUUAUUUAUUUUUAAUAAGUUAGGCUAACAAAAUUUUUGAAUUUGAAUUUCAGAAUUUUUAGGAUAAGAUUUAGGGUUAGAAUAGAUUUUUCCUAUUAAAUAGGAAAAAGUGGAUUAUUAACCUAAUAAAUCAGACUCUUUUUCUACUAUAAGCCUGCCUAUUUAAAGGCAUUUAAAUUGUAUUACCAAAAAAAAAGGCAUUUAAAUUAGGAAUAAAAUUCAUCAAUAAUUAUUAUUAAAAAACUUGCGAAUUCAAGAAGAGACUCUCUUAAGGAGGAGUUCACUUCUGCCUUUCUCAUAAGUUGAAGAAAAGGUUCUACUAUGUCUAGGACUGAGUCAAUGCGAACGGUAAACCAAAGACCAUAACAAUUUUGUAUUACGAGCCAACUUGGCGACGUGAAUUUAACAUCAAUCAUGAAGACUUUCAUUGAACAAAUGAAGGCCAUACAAUCUUUUCUAGAAGAGCAAAUAGCUAACCUCUCCAGGAUACUUCAAGGAGUGAAUAAACGUUCCAGAAAAAACAAUUCUAGAUAUGCAAGAAGUAGUAGUGGCAACAAUAAUAGUCAGGAAGAUGAAAACAACUCGAAGAUGAGGGGAGACUUGAUUCCCCGGAAUUUCAAAAUGGAAUUUCCCAUUUAUGAUGGAACAUGCAAUGUAGUUAAAAUCAAGAUUUUACGCAAAAUUGGAAAAGGGAAGUACUAUCGUAAAUUGUGGAAUAGUAACACUAAUUGUAAUAUUAUACAAAAUUCUAAAACUAUAUAUGCAUAUAAAAUGACAUUAGUAAGAGAAAAAAACCUUAAAUCAUUUGAAAUACUUGUGUAAAUUUAAAUUCAUAACUCACAAGAUAAUUAAAAUCUUAAAUUACACUUCAAGUAUUUAUAUAAAUUUAAAUCCAUUUAUAAGCAUGAUCGCAUCAACAUUUCAAAGAUCGUAAGAUUACACGUUUCAAAGAUUAACAAGAGGUAGGGUUGGUAAUGAGUUAACUUCGGCUCAACUCAAUAAGAAUUUGAUUUACUCGAAAGUUGAAUUCGUCACAUACUUUUUUCAAAUGCAAACUCGACUUGAAUAAAGUUCACGAAUAACUCGGUUCUGUUCAUUAGCUCGAACUCGGUCCGACUCGACUUGAUAACUCAGAUUAAAUAGACCAAAAAAAUUAAUUGAAAAAAAAACAAAAUUUAACUAAAGGCCAUAUAAUUUAUAUUUGACUUGAUUGCCAAUUUUUCUUUAACAAAGAUAACUUCCCAAAAUUCUUGGAUGCAUCUCAUAAGUGUUGGAGCACUCUAAUAUAUAUGAGAAGAGGAGAGUAUAAGAAAGUAUAGCUGGUUCAUGAACCAAAAUAGUUUAACUAUAUAUAGUUGAACAACUCGUUUAUCUUACAAACUUAUUUUUCAACUCAAGUUCUACUCAUUUGGUUCAUGAAACAAGUUCUACGAUUUAGUUAUCAAAUCGAGUCUCAAACUAUUUUCGCAUUGGUUAGGUUCAUUCCAGUCUAACGGGAGAAAUUCUACUUGAUUCUACUAGAUUAGGAUUGCGUAUACUCAUAAUCUGUGAGGGUAAUCAUAAUCGCAAAAUUAUGUGAUUUUACCAUGAGAACAAGGGACUCAUUGGGGUGGCUGAGUCGCCGAGACAAAUUUUAUGUAAAUGAAGGAUUGCUGAAAGAGACAAAGUUGGUUUGGUUAGAUCAAAUGGAAGAAGAACCUGAAACAAUGUGGGAACACUUUAAGGAAUGUUGCCAUAUACGGUUUGGACCACCAAUGAGCAAUAAUCCAUUGAGAGAACUUGCCAACCUUGAGCAAACUAAAUCAAUGGAUGAUUGUCAACGCCUGUUUCAAUCCUUGUUAGAACCCAUGAUCUUAAGCUUAGACAAGUUGACUUAUUUAUUGAUGGGCUAUUCGAUGAACUGAGGAUAGACAUUGAACUUCAACAAUCAGAAAAUCUAGGAAUCAGAAAAUCUAGGAGUUGCUAUGGAUAUGGCUCGAGCAUUUACAAACUGAAAUGCUCACAAGGAAUGCUUACAACACAUGAUAAUAUGAGUAGAACCUUCAACAAUGGUUUUGUCAUCCUAUCCCAAACCACUAUUUGCAGUAGAUUAAAUAGAGGAAUUAGAUAAUUGUUAGUCCCAUGAGAAGGAUAUAAUCCAGAAGAUGCAAUGUGAGAACCUUUUGAUAAGUUUUGCAAAGCUUAUUCCAAAUUUGAGCUUGAGACACGCUCAACGCCGAAAAAGGAAGUCAUGACAUAUAUACAUUUAUGGGAAAGCAGUAUCAGAAAAGGAAGAUCUCUAAUUCUGCUUAUUAGUAUAGUUAUGAUGAUUAUAAUUUAUUAUUUUAUUUAUUUUUAAUUAGUUAGUAUAACAUAAUUUUUAAUUUAUAGUUUGAGUAUUUAUAGGAUAAGAUAUAGGGUUAGAACGAUUUUUUCUAUUAAACAAGAUAUUAUCAUUUAAAUUAGAUGAUAGUAAUUUUAGAGAAAAUUUAUAAAUUAACCUAACAAUCCGGACUCUUUCUCCUAGAAGCUUAUUUUAAGGCAAGGUUGAGAAUAAAAAUCAUCAAUAAUUAUUAUUAAAAACUUGUGAGUUUAAGAAGAGAAUAUGUCAAGGACGAGUCCGCUUCUGCUUUUACCAUAGGUUGAAGGAAAUGUACUACUGUGUCUAAGACUGUGUCUACGCGAUCCCAGGCUAGAGACUGAAAUCGCCUGGAAACCCUGCAACAACCAAAUGGGAGUGUUCCUGUUAUAUAGUAUCCUCGGUUGGAAAAUUUUGGAUAGGUGAAUGUACAGGUAACCAGUACAUUGAGGUUAGGAUUUAGGUCCUUUUUUGAAGCCUUAAAAUCACAUUACUCAAAUUGUUUAUCCUAGUCGUACAAUUUGUAAAUGAAAACUUCCAUUAUAUACCGUAUGGAAAUGAAGGAAAAUUUCAGUCUCUGUUCGAAUUUCAUCUUUUUAUUGCUAUCUCCGGCAAGCAAGGGCACUGUAUCUUCUCUUGUCAAUAUUAAGAUUUACUAGAAUAGCUGAUAGUGAAGGAUAUAGAGUUUUGGGUUCAGUUGUCAAUAUGAUCAAAGUUAUUGAUAGAGUUGGAUUAAUUCAUACUUGUAAAUUUGUAUCUCUAGUUCUUUUACAAUGUAUUCUUAAGAUAACCUACAUUAUGUGAUUUAACCCAGGGUCUCAGGAUUACUAAAUACUAUGUUAGUUCUAUUACAAAUUAUAUGUUGCCUUUUCUAAGAUUCUGAAAAUCAUAUCCCAAGUACACAGUCGAGCAGGAUCUCUCUCUCAACAUAUGUGUGUCCUUUUGAGGUUGGGGACAGGUAUGGAUAUGUUAAAAAAUGCAGAUUAUUGUUUGUAAAUGCAGAUUAUCCACAUCUAGUAAAGAAUAUGUUACAUAUAGUUAGAUCCUAACCUUAUUUUAAGUGCUUAAUUUAGCUGUUUAACAAUCAUUUUAUCAGCUUCAAAAGUACUUGCCGUUAGGUCUUGCUCAUUUACUAACCGAUAAACACUUUAAUUGAAAACUUAUUUAUCAUUAACACUAAUUUGUUUUGAUAGACUGUAGAUAUUUUAAUUAAUUGUCUACUGUUUAUUGAAUAUGUACGUACAGUAUUAUAUAAGCACCCAUGUUGAAUCAUGUUAUUUUCUAUAGUAAAGAGAGAAUGUGGUGAAACUGAUUUCUAUUACUUAUCACAUUUUCUGUUAUUUUCAUUAGAAAACUAUUUUUUUAUAAGUUCUUCUAAACAUCAUAACUAUUUAUGUGUUAACGAAGUUGAUUAACACAAAAGGUCGUGAGUUCAAUUCUUUGCGUUUGCUACGAGAACUUUUGGUAGAUAAUCUAUAUUCUUUUUUUUUUUUUGAUAUUUAAUCUAUAUUCUAUAUAGAUGGUUCUAUAAGUGUUUAUUGAAUUUUGAGGGCUACCCGACUAAUGAGUAUUUAUGUUGAAAACAUACUCUUAAAUGCUUUGAAUAUCUUCAAUAAUUUCAUCACCUAAUAAUCAUGUUUGGAUGUAUGUGGGGAAUUAGUGCUCCAAUUCAAUUUGUAAUCAUGUUUUUUUCCACUUUUUAAAAUUUGGGAAAGGGUGUUUGGUAUGGUAGUUGUCAAGAACAAUUAUAAUAUCAUUGUUUUGUUAGUGGCCCUGAGCAUGUGUGAUACUAACAAUGGUCAAGGAUAGCUUUUUGUCUCUUGCGGGGGGAAAUUUGGUGAUAUUUGUUCAGUGACUUUUUUAGCAUCUGAACGGCUAAAGCAGUUUAUUCCUUUAUUCCAUAUGAAAUAAAAAAAAUACCAAUAACUAUGCGUCAUACUCAAACGUGAUGACACUGGAAAAAUUGCUAUGGGCUUUUGAUAUAAAAAUAUCUUCGCUCCCACGAAAGAUAUUUGUUUUUUUUAAUGAUGAGAUUACGAAAGAUAUUUGUUUAUUGGAGAAUUAAAAAGUGCUAUUUGUUUAUUGGAAUUAAAAGGUAUAAACUAUCGUGAUAAAAAUCUACCACUACUUUCUUAUAAUAAUAACUCACACUUUUGUAUAAUUAUUUUGAAAAUGAAAGUGUAACAUGCUAUGCUAUGAUGCAUAGGUAUGAUUAAGGAACUCGGAACAAGUACUCUUAUGGUUAUGGAACCUGUCCUGUAUAGGUCUGUUUUACAAAAGUUCCCGAAAAAAUGAGUGGUGCAAGACAAGUAUAGUUGAGCGUGCAUGUCAAAAAUCUUGAUUUGUCAUGUAAAAAAAUGAGGCUAGAAAGAGGUGGAGGCUGCAUGCCCUGCAUUUCUUUCUUUGCCUAAAAUUCUAAAAAAAAUUAGUCUAAACAAAGGCGGGUGUCAUCUUUAGUUAUAAAGGAGUGUGGACUUCAAAUUUUGGUAUGCCACAAAAAAAAAACAGUCAAACAGAUUGUUUGGCGGAUUGAGCCCGUCAUGUCAUCUUUAGUUAUAUGUUUGACAGAUUGGAUCCAUUUUGUCACUCUAUUUAUCAUAUUAAAUAUUUUUUUUAAAAAGCAUGAAUACAUUAA
This is an RNA transcript of Vicia villosa (hairy vetch), 7166 nucleotides long. RefSeq lists it as uncharacterized. Lineage: Eukaryota; Viridiplantae; Streptophyta; Magnoliopsida; Fabales; Fabaceae. The record is from RefSeq and is a predicted model, not a curated record. The transcript has 16 exons.